Molecule: long non-coding RNA, 887 nt
Organism: Anguilla anguilla (European eel)
Lineage: Eukaryota; Metazoa; Chordata; Actinopteri; Anguilliformes; Anguillidae
Exons: 2
Source: RefSeq, a predicted model, not a curated record
CAUACACAAGGAUCCCCCAGGACUGAGAACCCCUGAGUCACAGUACAGGAAGUAACUCGCCUAAUUCAGUCACAGUACAGGAGGUAAAUUGCCUAAUUCAGUCACAGUACAGGAAGUAACUUGCCGAAUUCAGUCACAGUAUAGGAAGUAACUUGCCUAAUUCAGUCACAGUACAGGAGGUAACUUGCCUAAUUCAGUCACAGUACAGGAAGUAACUCACCUAAUUCAGUACUAAAGUUCAGCACCUACACUCAGUACCAGCACAGAAGGGAGAGAUCUCCUCAGCCCAGAAAGUACCUGCAGGGUCUGAACCUGAACGUCGCCGUGCAUGCAACACUGCAGCCCUGGAGCAACCCCCACUUUCCUGCCUCUUUUCUCUUUCACGCGAGGUGGAGACGGAGAGAUUCCCGAAUCCCGACGCCUUUGUUCCCCCUCGUCGGCACGCAGGGACGUGAGCGUGUUUGGGUAGAUAUCCGUUCCCAUCCGGGCUCAGCGAGCUGCUCGGUCUCUGCUGUGAUUACAGGCGUAAUGGAUUGUUUGUGUCCAUACUAAUCAAAUGCCCUUCCUGGCCUAAAUGGAUCGAUCAUGUCUCUCAAAGCUGGAUCAUACGCAGGGAUAAAUACCUCAGUCAGAUUUUAUAUUACUGUCCGGGUGGUGCCAUGUUACUUUAUCAAUUUACAAUGUCCGCAUGGAGAAGACUCUCAUAUACUGAUACAGCAUUGAGUACAGUGCAUAUAAUACUCCUAUCUUUUGUUUGCACGGUUCAAAGGCACUCAUUGUGGCUAUUGAUUAAAAAUGCAGUCAGAUUCAUAUUUUCAAAUAUUGCAAAAGCUGAUUCCAGUACUCGUACCUGCUGGUGUGAAUUAAAGCAAUCAUGGAGGGCUGAA